Molecule: ribosomal RNA, 526 nt
Filed under: Schmidingerella taraikaensis
Lineage: Eukaryota; Ciliophora; Spirotrichea; Tintinnida; Rhabdonellidae
Description: partial Bacterial small subunit ribosomal RNA
Rfam family: Bacterial small subunit ribosomal RNA
Source: RNAcentral
ACGAAGAGUUUGAUCCUGGCUCAGGAUGAACGCUAGCGGGAGGCUUAAUACAUGCAAGUCGAGGGGUAACAGGGAGCUUGCUCCGCUGACGACCGGCGCACGGGUGCGUAACGCGUAUAGAACCUACCUUUUACAGAGGGAUAGCCUUUAGAAAUGAAGAUUAAUACCUCAUGGUAUUGGAGAUUGGCAUCAAUCACUAAUUAAAGAUUUAUCGGUAAAAGAUGGCUAUGCGUCCUAUUAGCUAGAUGGUAAGGUAACGGCUUACCAUGGCAACGAUAGAUAGGGGCCCUGAGAGGGGGAUCCCCCACACUGGUACUGAGACACGGACCAGACUCCUACGGGAGGCAGCAGUGAGGAAUAUUGGUCAAUGGAGGCAACUCUGAACCAGCCAUGCCGCGUGCAGGAAGACGGUCCUAUGGAUUGUAAACUGCUUUUAUUUGGGAAUAAACCUGGGUACGUGUACCCAGCUGAAUGUACCAAACGAAUAAGCACCGGCUAACUCCGUGCCAGCAGCCGCGGUAAUACG